This 253-nucleotide ribosomal RNA is filed under the name uncultured bacterium. Its description in RNAcentral is "partial 16S ribosomal RNA". It matches the Rfam family "Bacterial small subunit ribosomal RNA", at positions 524 to 776 of the family's 1533-position model. The record is from RNAcentral.
UACGUAGGGGGCUAGCGUUGUCCGGAAUCAUUGGGCGUAAAGCGCGUGUAGGCGGUUCGGUAAGUCCGCUGUGAAAGUCGGGGGCUCAACCCUCGAAUGCCGGUGGAUACUGUCGGACUAGAGUACGGAAGAGGCGAGUGGAAUUCCUGGUGUAGCGGUGAAAUGCGCAGAUAUCAGGAGGAACACCGGUGGCGAAGGCGGUUCUCUGGGCCUUACCUGACGCUGAGGAGCGAAAGCAUGGGGAGCAAACAGG